This 602-nucleotide long non-coding RNA is filed under the name Spirodela polyrhiza (greater duckweed). RNAcentral's name for it is "long non-coding RNA (SPOL_LNC001279)". The record is from RNAcentral. Lineage: Eukaryota; Viridiplantae; Streptophyta; Magnoliopsida; Alismatales; Araceae.
GGUUGCCUGUCAAUCAGACGGGAAAUUGAAGUUUGCGCAAGCAUGAGCUCAUCAUCCCUGAUGAUCAUUUUUCCUGCAGAAAGAUGAAGAAAUUGAAUUUUUCAGGCAAAAAUUUGCUGGAAGCCAAACUGUUAGGAUUAUAAAAGCAGAAGCUGAAGCAAAAAUAAUGGCGAAACAGGUCAACGACCUGACAGUUUCAGGUUUGCUCACUGUUUCCUGCGGGAUAUUACGUUAGCUUCCCUUGACCGCACAAUUUGCCGCGUGAUCUUAUUUCCUGUCAUUUUCCAUCAUCACGUGUACAAUGCCUUAUAAUUCUUCCUCCUCUCUCCCUUGGUGUAUCGUUUCUGUCAUAUUUUCUAGCUAAGGCUAAGAUUCGUCUCCCUUCUCGUUUCUCUUUCCUUUCUGAAUUCGACGCCUUCUUACCCCCCUUAGCUUCUGGAAGGGUGGUUUCGCCUCAGUCAUCUGGCACACGGAUACUCCUGGACCCAACUUGCCAUUUAUGCCAAAAAUUAUAAAUUUCUGAGUGUAUCUGUUGGGGUGUGGGAUAAUUGUUCAUUGGUAAGCUGUCAUUUGGAAUGAGAAGGAAUAUUUUGAGAUUCUCU